This is a long non-coding RNA of Anolis carolinensis (green anole), 2548 nucleotides long. RefSeq lists it as uncharacterized. The record is from RefSeq and is a predicted model, not a curated record. The transcript has 2 exons. Lineage: Eukaryota; Metazoa; Chordata; Lepidosauria; Squamata; Anolidae.
UUGGAGAGGGAGGAAGAGGAAGAAAGUGUGGAGACCCUCAGGAUGCUUUGUGGGGCCCCAUGGGCUCCCAUGGAGCACUCUUUGAGAACCAGUGUCCUAAUUUCAUUUUAGGAUGAUGUUUUUCAGAAGGAUACAAUGGCUGAUGAUCAUCAGAAGCCAAUAAGACAGAAGUAAGCAAGUGCAUAGGGGUCGGGGGGCAUUUUUAUCUCCUUGUCAGCCUAGUGUACAUUUUGAAAUGUCUGUCCCUUCCAACUGCCAUUUUCUUUUUUCUCUUUUCUUUUUAGGUUUGGGACAGCAGGACAUCACUAAAUUUCCCCCCUUUUUAAAUAAUUGAGGUUUGGGGAGCAUUAGGGAUUUAAGGACUGGAUGUUAUAUGGGCCACAUUUUGCCCACCCAUGCUAAGAGGUCCAGCAAAACCAAUAGGACUCCCUCAUGGUUCAGUCUUGUUUUCUAUUCCAUGAUUGGGAAAGGUCAUGGGGUACAAUUUCACCAAUAUGCUGAUGACACCAAUUUUACUACUUCUUUCCACUAAACUCCAAGAAAGUUAUCCUUGUGCUAAACCAGUGCCUGGCAACUGUGAUGGACUGGAUGAGGGCAAACAAAUUGAAGCAUAAUCCAAACAAGACAGAGGUACUCCUGGUCACUCAAAAGACAGAUCUGGCAUAUGUAAGAUGGGGUCACACUCCCUUCUGAAAAAUGCAGGUUUGCAGUUUGGACAUACUCCUGGAUUCGGCUAGUGCAUCAACUUUAUUACUACAGAAGUCAGAUCUGGCCAUGGUGCUACAUGAUUUGGUUACAUAUCUGUUGGAUUAUUGUUAUGCACUCUACAUGGGGCUGCCUUUGAAAAGUGCUCAGGAACUUGAGUUGGUCCAAAAGCAGUAACCAGGUUAUUAACUGGGGCUGGCUAUAGGAAACACAAAACUUCCCUGCUGCAACAGCUUUACUGGAUGCCAAGCCAUUUCUCAACACAAUUCAAAGUGCUGGCUAUGAUUUAUAAAGCCCUAUAUGUCUAGAGUCCAGGUUAUUCAGAUAACUGUUUUUCUAUGUUUGAAUCUCUGAGAACACUAUGAUCUUCUGGAGAGGGCCUUCUCUCUCCUCCACCUGGACUGUGUUGUUUGAACUGUAGUUUUUAUUCUAUUUUAUUCUAUUUUGUUGUUUUUAUGCUUCAUGACAUGUAGGAUUUGAUCGUUUUUCAUUUUUGUGUUUGAUACAUUGGAUUGUUUUUAGUAUUAUGCCAUGUUGCUGUUAGCCAUUAAAAAGGAGGUAUAGAAAUAUAGUAAAUAAACAUGUAAAUAAAUACCUCAUGCAUCAAGGUAAUAAAAACUGUCUAGCUGGCUAUCAGCUCGAUUAAAAAUGCUAAUCACCUGGGCAGUUUAGCCCCUGGAAGUUGCCAUAUCAACACAAGUAAUUUUGCGGUUUGCUAAUUGUAGGAAGCCUCUUUCAGCCCAAGGAAAACUUCAAUUUCUGGGAGGUUCACAUUCCAGUGAUGGCUGAUCUAGAAGGAUAGGAUUCAAAAUAUAAACACAUUUUCACUUAGAUUUCUUAUUGCUAAUAACAAACCGUAAGGCAUAUAUUUCAGUAUACAAAUAAAUAAUAUCAAGGCUGGGAAACCAUCAAAUGAUGAUGUCAAUGAGAAGUGGGUGUGAAACCUCAGAUUGGCAUUCCAGGAGGAGUGGAUUUGGCUCCAAGAAAUGGGUGUCUUAUUUUGGACACAAUAAUUCAAGAACGAUACUGACAAGCUGGAAGAUGUCCAGAGGAUGGUGAGCGAAAUGGUAGACAUGUUAUAUUGAAGAUGGAACAAGUUUUUUUUUGAUGCUCUGGAAUCUAGGAUGAGAAGAAAUGUAUGCCUUAGAUUGUUUUAAUAUUCAUAGUUUAAUUACAUUUUAACGUUGGUAUUUUGAUUUUUUUUUCAUGUCAGGAGCAACUUGAGAAACUGCAAGUCGCUUCUGGUGUGAGAGAAUUGGCCAUCUGAAAGGUCGUUGUUCAGGGAUCACUUGGAUGUUUUAAUGUUUUCACCAUCCUUGUAGGAGGCUUCUCUCAUGUUCCCACACGGAGCUGGAGCUGAUAGAGGGAGCUCAUCCGCGCUCUCACCGGGUUGGAUUCGAACCAGCAACCUUCAGACAAAAUUAUUAAAGAACAUGGAAGAGGCAACAAGAGAAUCAAUGGUUUUGGAUUGAAUCAGAACCAGAAGAGAUGAGCUGGUUAAUGGAGUAGAAGCAGUGGAAUCUUUUGGUGGGAAUGACCAUGUCAUCUUGAGAUUUGUGAUACAGAAGAAAGGGGAAAUUAGAUGUAAUCAGACUCAGGACUUCAGGAAAGCUGGUUCCUGCCAGAGGGCUCUUGUGCCUCACCAAACUACAAACUCCAGCAUUCCAUGGCAAUUAAAGUGAAAUCAUAAAGUCCCUAUGAUUCAGCAACCACCUUUAAGCCUAAUUUUCCGGGCUGUCCUGCUGACAAAAAGAAAAUCCCAAGACUUUUAUCAGCCUCUGUUAACACAUCACUGAAAUUGAGGGAUAAAUAUCUAACAAAUAAACAAGAUUUCCCUUGCUAA